GACGAACGCUGGCGGCGUGCUUAACACAUGCAAGUCGAGCGGUAAGGCCCUUUCGGGGGUACGACGAGCGGCGAACGGGUGAGUAACACGUGGGUGACCUGCCCUUACGCUCUGGGAUAAGCCUGGGAAACUGGGUCUAAUACCGGAUAUGACUCCAUGACGCAUGUUGUGGGGUGGGAAAGCCUUGUGCGGCUAGGGAUGGGCCCGCGGCCUAUCAGCUUGUUGGUGGGGUGAUGGCCUACCAAGGCGACGACGGGUAGCCGGCCUGAGAGGGCGACCGGCCACACUGGGACGUGAGACACGGCCCAGACUCCUACGGGAGGGCAGCAGUGGGGAAGUCUUGCGCAAUGGGCGAAAGCCUGACGCAGCGACGCCGCGUGAGGGAUGACGGCCU
Molecule: ribosomal RNA, 394 nt
Filed under: uncultured bacterium
Lineage: Bacteria
Description: bacterial SSU rRNA
Rfam family: Bacterial small subunit ribosomal RNA
Source: RNAcentral